GGGGAUUUAGCUCAGUGGUAGAGCGCUUGCCUAGCAAGCGCAAGGCCCUGGGUUCGAUCCCCAGCUCUG
This is a non-coding RNA of Rattus norvegicus (Norway rat), 69 nucleotides long. The record is from Rfam. NCBI's taxonomy places the organism in Eukaryota, Metazoa, Chordata, Mammalia, Rodentia, Muridae.